GGUCCCGUAGCGUAAUUGGUUAUCGCACCGCCUUGUCACGGCGGAGAUUUGCCGGUUCGAAUCCGGUCGGGAUCG
Molecule: transfer RNA, 75 nt
Filed under: Chlamydiota bacterium
Lineage: Bacteria; Pseudomonadati; Chlamydiota
Description: tRNA-Asp
Rfam family: tRNA
About the family: Transfer RNA (tRNA) molecules are approximately 80 nucleotides in length. Their secondary structure includes four short double-helical elements and three loops (D, anti-codon, and T loops).
Source: RNAcentral